AUGUUCUCUGUAGCUCUGCUGCUGCUGCUGGCUGCUGGAUCCUGUGUUGAUGGUCAGACUCUGACACAAUCUGAACCAGUGGAUAAAAAGCCUGCAGAGUCCCACACAUUGACCUGCACAGCCUCUGGAUUCACACUCAGCAGCUACUGGAUGAACUGGAUCAGACAGGCUCCUGGAAAAGGACUAGAGUGGAUUGCAAUUAUCAACGGUGAUAGUACUAGUUCUCCUAUCUACUACUCCCAGUCAGUCCAGGGUCGAUUCACCAUCUCCAGAGACGACUCCAGCAGUGAGGUGUAUCUCCAGAUGAACAGUCUGAAGACUGAGGACACAGCCGUGUAUUACUGUGCCCGAACAGACACAGUGUGUACAGUAUUGAUCUGA
Molecule: non-coding RNA, 381 nt
Organism: Myripristis murdjan (pinecone soldierfish)
Lineage: Eukaryota; Metazoa; Chordata; Actinopteri; Holocentriformes; Holocentridae
Source: the annotation of a RefSeq genome assembly